AACGAACGCUGGCGGCAUGCCUAACACAUGCAAGUCGAACGAGACCUUCGGGUCUAGUGGCGCACGGGGGCGUAACGCGGGGGAACCUGCCCGUAGGUUCGGAAUAACUCCCCGAAAGGGGUGCUAAUACCGGAGAAGGUCUUCGGACCAAAGAUUUAUCGCCUUUGGAUGGGCCCGCGUUGGAUUAGCUAGUUGGUAGGGGAAAAGCCUACCAAGGCGACGAUGCAUAGCUGGUCUGAGAGGAUGAUCAGCCACACUGGGACGGAGACCCGGCCCAGACUCCUACGGGAGGCAGCAGUGGGGAAUAUUGGACACUGGGCGAAAGCCUGAUCCCGCCAUGCCGCGUGAGUGAUGCAGGCCUUAGGGUUGUAAAGCUCUUUUACCCGGGAUGAUAAUGACAGUACCGGGAGAAUAAGCUCCGGCUAACUCCGUG
RNAcentral lists this ribosomal RNA (433 nucleotides) under uncultured bacterium. RNAcentral's name for it is "partial 16S ribosomal RNA". It matches the Rfam family "Bacterial small subunit ribosomal RNA", at positions 29 to 507 of the family's 1533-position model. The record is from RNAcentral.